UACGUAGGGCGCAAGCGUUGUCCGGAAUUAUUGGGCGUAAAGAGCUCGUAGGCGGUUUGUCGCGUCUGCUGUGAAAGCCUGAGGCUCAACCUCGGGCUUGCAGUGGGUACGGGCAGACUAGAGUGCGGUAGGGGUGACUGGAAUUCCUGGUGUAGCGGUGGAAUGCGCAGAUAUCAGGAGGAACACCGAUGGCGAAGGCAGGUCACUGGGCCGCAACUGACGCUGAGGAGCGAAAGCAUGGGGAGCGAACAGG
Molecule: ribosomal RNA, 253 nt
Filed under: uncultured bacterium
Lineage: Bacteria
Description: partial 16S ribosomal RNA
Rfam family: Bacterial small subunit ribosomal RNA
Source: RNAcentral